Molecule: ribosomal RNA, 254 nt
Filed under: uncultured bacterium
Lineage: Bacteria
Description: partial 16S ribosomal RNA
Rfam family: Bacterial small subunit ribosomal RNA
Source: RNAcentral
UACGUAGGGACCAAGCGUUGUUCGGAUUUACUGGGCGUAAAGGGCGCGUAGGCGGCAAUUCAAGUCAGCUGUGAAGUCUCCGGGCUUAACUCGGAACGGUCAGCUGAUACUGCUUUGCUAGAGUGCAGAAGGGGCAAUCGGAAUUCUUGGUGUAGCGGUGAAAUGCGUAGAUAUCAAGAGGAACACCUGAGGUGAAGACGGGUUGCUGGGCUGACACUGACGCUGAGUGCGCGAAAGCUAGGGGAGCAAACGGG